Molecule: long non-coding RNA, 536 nt
Filed under: Mytilus galloprovincialis (Mediterranean mussel)
Lineage: Eukaryota; Metazoa; Mollusca; Bivalvia; Mytilida; Mytilidae
Source: RNAcentral
UUUUUUGUUCAUAAUGAUGUUAAUUUUUCUUAAAUAUUUGACAAAUUUUUGGUUUGGACUGAGAUUCUGUGUCUCACAAAUCAGGUUAAAGUCUAAGUUUUGGGAUAAGUAUAGAUCUGGAGAUAUUGUGUGCUGGUUUAUGAGACAUCAGUCGACUAGAAUCCAAAGAACAUGUUAUGGUUAAUGCGUUGGGCAUUCUUAUGGUUUAUUUUGUGAUUUGCCUAAAGAUAGACACGACAAGUCAUGGCCUAAAAAUAAAUCACUGUACACCACCAUGGUUUAAAGAUAGCCAAUGUAAUAUAGACAAUGCACAACAUUGCAUAAAGAAAGACAUUGUACACCAUGGCCUAAAGAUACAAAAUACAAAAUGACCUAAAGGUAGAAAAGUUACUCAAUAGCCUAAAGAUAGGCAAUGUACACCAUGACCUAAAGGUAAGACAAUGUUCACCAUGGCAAAUAAAAGAUAAAUGAUGUAUACCAUGGCUUAAAGAUAGACUAUGAAAUCAUUGACUUAAGAUAUACUAUGUGAUCAUGGC